This is a long non-coding RNA of Pezoporus occidentalis (night parrot), 1457 nucleotides long. RefSeq lists it as uncharacterized. The record is from RefSeq and is a predicted model, not a curated record. NCBI's taxonomy places the organism in Eukaryota, Metazoa, Chordata, Aves, Psittaciformes, Psittacidae. The transcript has 2 exons.
CGGUUGUGGUGGGUUGUCUCAGCAGCUGCUGCUCCAGGUCUGGCUCCGCCUCGUCUCCACCCGCGCCGCGCAGGCGAGCACCCCGCCGGGCGGAGGGGCCCUUACAGGGACGGGGGAAGCAAUGGGCGACGGCCAGCGGCCCUCUCAGGUGUCAGGGUCUGUCCUGAGCCCUGGUUCCUGAGCCGGGCCUUGUGUGGGUCGGGGGGCCCGUGUUAGGCUGGAGCCGCACGCCUGGUACUAUAAACGUGGGGAAAGCGAGGAGUAAAGGGCUUUGGUACCCCAUUUUCUUCAGGAUUCCAGGCUUUCGUCUCUGUUUACUGGGGGAAAUCAAGCAACAGUCAGGUUGGAGGGGCUUUGAGCAACCUGGUCUAGUGGAAGGUGUCCCUGCCCAUGGCAGGGGGUUCGAACUGGGUGAGCUUUAAGGUCCCUUCCAGCCCAAACCGUUCUGUGAUUCUGUAACUCAUCACUGCAAGCACUAACAGACUAUAUAUGCUGUAUGCAUGUUACAACAUUCUGCACUUCCCAGUUUCAAACCAUUUUUCAAUUCAUUAAGAAUAUCCCAAAAUUCAGUACUUCCCCAGAAAAAAAAAAAAAAAAAAAAAGAAAACCCAUAUUAUCAAUUCCAGCUGGGAGUGUGUGUAAUCCAAUAGACAUAAUAUGUAUUCCAGCAUCCAACCCAUUAAUGAACAUACUGACUACUAAAGAAAUUAAGACAUUUUCACUCAAAAGUCUAUUUAAAGCAUCCUUCUAUGGUGAUAGUAAACCGUUAAAACCUAGAGGGGGAUGUAUCUCAUCUAACUUUAGAUAACUGAUCAGAAACCAUAAAUCACCACUUUAUAUAAAUUACCUUUAUAGUCAACACAGAGAAAUGAGCACUUUCAGAGCCUGAUUCGUCUGGUGUAUUUCAAACAUCAACAUGGCCAGAUAAAUCUUCCCCACUUGAUAUGCUUUCCAAAUGAGUUUUGGACCCCUCCUAAUACUUUUAUGUGGACAGUGUUCCCCUCCCAUACUUAAGAGUGAUGUUACAAAAUGGAACCAAAAGGCUUACUGAAAUAAAAAUACAGGACACUUACUCUUUGCCUCCUACCUAUAAGGCAGGUCACACUUUUCCAAUAGAAAGAUUUCUUUCUUUCUAAUUAUUAUUGAAACUAUUAAUCUGCCUAGUAAGUAUUUUAAUGCUAUUAUUUAUCCAGUAUUUUGGGGGGAGUUGAAGUGAAAUUUAAAAAAAUUCUUAAUUUCCUUCUUGUCCUUUUUCAUGGAAGGAGCUUCAUCCUUCUGUCUUCUGGUCUUCUGGAUCUCCACAGGGCAUCUACCCCUUUUACCUCCAGCUAGUUUUGUUGGCUUCAAAAUGACCACUCCCAGGAGGAAAGACUACUCACAUGAAUCACAAAUUAUUCCAGUUAAUUAUCUUCUAAAUAAGAACUUGAAUUAAAUUAAUGAACAUAUUUUUCAAGUCC